Molecule: ribosomal RNA, 275 nt
Filed under: Bacillus mycoides
Lineage: Bacteria; Bacillati; Bacillota; Bacilli; Caryophanales; Bacillaceae
Description: 16S rRNA. Bacterial SSU
Rfam family: Bacterial small subunit ribosomal RNA
Source: RNAcentral
CUUUAUUGGAGAGUUUGAUCCUGGCUCAGGAUGAACGCUGGCGGCGUGCCUAAUACAUGCAAGUCGAGCGAAUGGAUUAAGAGCUUGCUCUUAUGAAGUUAGCGGCGGACGGGUGAGUAACACGUGGGUAACCUACCCAUAAGACUGGGAUAACUCCGGGAAACCGGGGCUAAUACCGGAUAAUAUUUUGAACUGCAUAGUUCGAAAUUGAAAGGCGGCUUCGGCUGUCACUUAUGGAUGGACCCGCGUCGCAUUAGCUAGUUGGUGAGGUAACG